GGCACCACGUGGAUCAGUGGUAGAGCCGGCGCACCAUAGGCAGAGGCUGCAGUCCUCAAUGCAGCUGCCCCGGGUUCGAUUCCUGGCCCUGGGCCA
Ataeniobius toweri is the source of this 96-nucleotide non-coding RNA. The record is from the annotation of a GenBank genome assembly. Lineage: Eukaryota; Metazoa; Chordata; Actinopteri; Cyprinodontiformes; Goodeidae.